Molecule: RNA transcript, 1445 nt
Organism: Formica exsecta
Lineage: Eukaryota; Metazoa; Arthropoda; Insecta; Hymenoptera; Formicidae
Gene: U2af38
Gene name: splicing factor U2af 38 kDa subunit-like
Exons: 8
Source: RefSeq, a predicted model, not a curated record
CAUAUUGUUUUCCAGCAUUCCUGGGUAAUUUUCGGAUUGACCGUUUUUUUCACUGGAGGGUAAUCUUAUAAUUUUUUAUCUAUGGGUAUAUAAUUGCCGCCAUUUUGUGAGGUGUGGGUUCUCUUCCUGGCAACCAGUCAACCGGUGAACUAGUAUAUGGUGGACGUAUAUGUGUUGCGGAGUAUUCACUGCCGGCAACUUUUGAUUAUUUCGAGGAAGAAGUAAUUAAAAUUUUAAAACGUUGUGACGUAAGUCAUGGCGGAAUAUCUAGCGUCUAUCUUCGGAACUGAGAAAGACAAAGUAAAUUGCUCUUUUUACUUCAAAAUCGGCGCCUGCCGUCACGGUGACAGAUGCUCGCGUAUUCACAACAAGCCCACAUUCAGCCAGACAUGUUUGCUUCAAAAUUUGUAUGUAAAUCCUCAAAAUUCUGCCAAGAGCGCGGAUGGCUCCCAUUUGGUUGCAAAUGUGUCAGAUGAAGAAAUGCAAGAACAUUAUGACAACUUUUUUGAAGAUGUUUUUGUUGAAUGUGAAGACAAGUAUGGCGAGAUUGAAGAAAUGAACGUGUGUGACAAUCUUGGUGAUCACUUAGUGGGCAAUGUUUAUAUCAAGUUCCGCAGAGAAGAAGAUGCAGAAAGGGCUGUAAACGACUUGAACAAUCGCUGGUUUGGCGGUAGACCUGUUUAUGCUGAACUUUCUCCGGUGACGGAUUUCAGAGAAGCUUGUUGUCGUCAAUAUGAAAUGGGAGAAUGUACGCGAUCUGGAUUUUGCAACUUUAUGCAUUUGAAGCCUAUCUCGCGCGAGCUGCGUCGCUAUCUGUAUAGUCGUAAGAAGAGCGGCAGGGGACGAUCUAGAUCACGAUCACGAUCGCGCGGCCGAGAUCGUAAGCGCAGAUCGCGAUCGCGCGACAGACGAUCGAGAUCCAAGGAUCGCCGGAAGCGAGACGACAAAGCCAGGGGAGAUACAUUGACUCAAAGCGGCAUCGAGAAACCUGUGUGACGGAAGCAUAGGUUAGGAGACAUCAAGAUCUCUAACGAGAUGGAUUUGGCCAAAAUAUCAAACGAAAAGAAGUUACACCUUUGUAAAUGGUAUUUUCGUGCUGGUUUUGCACUGCUGCCAUUUCUGUGGGCUGUGAAUGCGAUUUGGUUCUCAAAAGAGGCUUUUGUUGCACCACCUUACGAGGAACAGAAGCAAAUUAAGAAAUAUGUAAUUUUCUCCGCUAUAGGAGCGACUAUUUGGACAGCCGCUUUAGUAGCUUGGAUAAUUACAUUUCAAACUCAAAGAGCUGUGUGGGGUGACUUCGCCGAUGCUAUCAGCUACAUAAUUCCUACUGGAAUUCCUUGAUUUUAAUGCCAGUACUUUGUUGGUAUGCAAUAAUUUAUUACAAACAUGUAUAUUAAAUUAUCUUUGUAUAUUAGUUUUGCGCAAUAAUUAUAAUUGUAAAUUCA